This 994-nucleotide long non-coding RNA is filed under the name Ricinus communis (castor bean). Its description in RNAcentral is "long non-coding RNA (RCOM_LNC000493)". The record is from RNAcentral. Lineage: Eukaryota; Viridiplantae; Streptophyta; Magnoliopsida; Malpighiales; Euphorbiaceae.
UCAAAAAGAUGUUUGUGAUGUCUGUGAUGGAAAAAAGUUGCAGAAGAAAAUGAUGAUAAGCAUAUAAUAAAGAAUGAAAUACAAAGGAAUGAACGCUCAAAGUUCCUCAUCUUGUAAGAAUGUUUAAUUCUAUUUUUUGAGUUUUUAAUUUUUGUCUUUCGUAUGUUUUCUUUUCUUUUGUUUUCCGCAUUUGGACAUUUUAUAUACCUUUACUCUGUUCCAGAAAUAGGAAGUGAAGAUCCAUUAUCUUAGGCGACGGGAGGUGACCAUUCCUGCCUUAAAAUUUGGGAGUCGCUGUGUCGAGUUUCUGGUUUUCGACACUGAGUGGAUUAUUACCCUCACAGAAAGAGAGACAAAGAAAGAAACAUUCUUGGUCUUGGACAAUGAACACAUGGAGACUAGCCCUUUACUGUAGGCAAAAAAUGCCUUAAAAUUUGGGAGUCGCUGUGUCGAGUUUCUGGUUUUCGACACUGAGUGGAUUAUUACCCUCACAGAAAGAGAGACAAAGAAAGAAACAUUCUUGGUCUUGGACAAUGAACACAUGGAGACUAGCCCUUUACUGUAGGCAAAAAAUGCCUUAAAAUUUGGGAGUCGCUGUGUCGAGUUUCUGGUUUUCGACACUGAGUGGAUUAUUACCCUCACAGAAAGAGAGACAAAGAAAGAAACAUUCUUGGUCUUGGACAAUGAACACAUGGAGACUAGCCCUUUACUGUAGGCAAAAAAUGCCUUAAAAUUUGGGAGUCGCUGUGUCGAGUUUCUGGUUUUCGACACUGAGUGGAUUAUUACCCUUACAGAAAGAGAGAGACAAAGAAAGAAACAUUCUUGGUCUUGGAUAAUGAACACAUGGAGACUAGCCCUUUACUGUAGGCAAAAAAAAACAUUAAUUUCUUUGUCUUUUUUUUUCUUAUACCUCGUAUCAUGUGUUACUUCAUGCAAUUCUAGGAAUAGCAGAUAUCGGCAGCAAAGCUAAGAGACCAUACAGCGAAUGCAGCUC